This 460-nucleotide ribosomal RNA is filed under the name uncultured bacterium. RNAcentral describes it as "partial 16S ribosomal RNA". It matches the Rfam family "Bacterial small subunit ribosomal RNA", at positions 338 to 795 of the family's 1533-position model. The record is from RNAcentral.
CCUACGGGAGGCAGCAGUGGGGAAUAUUCCUCAAUGGACGAGAGUCUGAACCAGCAAAGUAGCGUGAAGGAUGACUGCCCUCGGGUUUGUAAGCUUCUUUUAUCUGGGAAUAAAUCGUUCCACGUGUGGGAUUUUGUAUGUACCAUAUCAAUCAGGAUCGGCUAACGCCGUGCCAGCAGCCGCGGUACUACGGAGGAUCCGAGCGUUAUCCGGAUUGAUUGGGUUUAAAGGGAGCGUAGGUGGAUGGUUAAGUCAGUUGUGAAAGUUUGCGGCUCAACCGUAAAAGUGCAGUUGAAACUGGCAGUCUUGAGUACAGUAGAGGUGAGCGGAAUUCGAGGUGUAGCGGUGGAAUGCGUAGAUAGCACGAAGAACUCCGAUUGCGAAGGCAGUUCACUGGACUGUAACUGACACUGAGGCUCGAAAGCGUGGGUAGCAAACAGGAUUAGAUACCCUGGUAGUC